This 784-nucleotide unclassified non-coding RNA is filed under the name Hevea brasiliensis (rubber tree). The record is from RNAcentral. Lineage: Eukaryota; Viridiplantae; Streptophyta; Magnoliopsida; Malpighiales; Euphorbiaceae.
GAGAGAGAGAGAGAGAGGUUUAAAGAUCUGAUAUGGGCAAGUGAGUUGUGGGUCUGUCACACUAUGAAUUGAUGUAUGUUUUUGUGCAAUUUUGUGCAAACUUUUUAAUUUUGGAAAUUGUCUUGAUUGCAAAAUUUAGUUGCAAUUUUGCCCAAUCAGUCGAAAUUGAAAUAAAAAAAAUUAUCAAUUUAAUUUUAAAAAAUAAUUUGUCCAUAGCAUGGAAAGGACUUGCAGUUAAUUUUGACUAAUUUAUUUAUUUAUUUGGUGUUAAAAAAUUAUUUGUAAUUUCUAAUUUGACCAAUUGUAUAGGAUUGCACCUAAGUUUUGAAAUCAGGAAAAAAUUGCCAAAAUUAGAACGUUUGGAUAAACUUACAAAUGUUUGGGUUUUUCUGACUAUUAAGCCAAUAACACGGAGAAAGGUUUAAAGUUCUGAAUUGGCAAUAGAAUUGUGGUUAUUCAAACUUUGCAUUGGGUCAGUUUGAAAAUUAGUUAAUGCUGAGGAUUUUUCUUUUCAUAAAGGAUCUGCUUUAUUGAGUUGAAAUCCAGAUGUUGCCAAAAUGGUUUUAAAUGCUGGCCUUGGAUUGAGAAUUUAGGAUGGAUUGGUAAUUGAAAAGUUUAACUAAAGUGAAGGGAUUACGGAAAAUGUGUAGGGAAAAAGAGAUAGAGGGGAUUUUGUAGUUGUUCAGAAUGCGGUAGAUGGUAGCUGAAACACUGUAGCAGUGGGAGUUAAUACAAGCACAUAUCAAAUGAUUCCCCAAGAUAGUUAAAAGCAUAAGGCGCACUC